GCCGCGCGCCCCUGCCCACACGGGAGCAAGAUGGCGGCGCGCAGGGCGGCGAGCGGCAGCUGAGGGCUGCGGGGUCCCCGCGCAGGCAGCUGAGCAUCUUCCUUUGGCUGAUCCUGCUCUCCUGGAAGACUGAAUGCAAGAAUUGUGUCUUAGGAGAGUAGAAAUCCAGCACAACAGGUACCACAGCUGGAAGCAUGCAGUGGAUUUGUCAGAGAGCUGGGGCUUGUUCCUCACGUUUGGAGAGCCGACUGAAGGGCCUGCUGGGCUUCGUCAGAUGGCAGAGAAGGCUUCCUGCUUGUGUCAGAGCUAUUUACAGUGAGACGGGGAAAUGGGAGAAAAGCUACGGGCUGGAGACAAGAAGAAGAGUGGAAAGUUGGUGGCUGCCAAGAAUAAAGGAUCAGUUCUGCAGAAUUUCAGAAACUGAUAAAUCAAGACCAAAGUUUUAUGUGCUUUCUAUGUUCCCAUAUCCUUCUGGAAAGCUCCACAUGGGCCAUGUUCGUGUCUACACCAUCAGUGAUGCCAUAGCUCGGUUCCAGAAGAUGAGAGGAAUGCAGGUGAUAAAUCCAAUGGGAUGGGAUGCAUUUGGUUUACCAGCAGAAAAUGCUGCAGUUGAACAUGGCCUUCACCCUGCAAGCUGGACACAGAGUAAUAUACAACACAUGAGGGAACAGUUUGAUGCACUAGGGCUGUCUUUCACAUGGGAAAGGGAAAUAACCACUUGCUUACCAGAGUACUACAGGUGGACCCAGUACUUCUUUCUGAAGCUGUUUGAAGCCGGGAUGGUGUAUCAAAAAGAGGCCUUGGUUAAUUGGGAUCCAGUGGAUCAGACUGUCCUAGCUAAUGAGCAGGUGGAUGGCAAUGGCUGCUCCUGGCGUUCGGGAGCAAAAGUGGAACAGAAAUACCUCAAACAGUGGUUUAUCAAAACUACUGCUUAUGCAAAGGCUCUGUCUGAUGCUUUGGCUGAUCUGCCUGAGUGGUAUGGGAUAAAGGAGAUGCAGGCCAAUUGGCUGGGCGACUGCACUGGCUGCUACCUCGACUUCUUGCUAAAGGUUAAUGGUAAAGUAGUAGGAGAGAAGCUUGCAGCUUACACCUAUACACCUGAAGCCAUUUACGGAGCUUCCCAUGUAUGUAUCACAGAGACUCACAGACUGCUGCAUGGCAGCAGCAGUCUCAAGGAAGUCUUGCAGAGAGAUUUCAUCCCUGGGAAAGACUCACUCACGUCUGUGACAGCUGUGAAUUUGCUUACAGAGCAGGAGAUUCCUGUAGUCAUCUCAACAAACACCACUUUUGAGAAUUACCUUGAUACUAAAAUAGCGAUCCCCAGCACUAGUGCAGAAGAUGCUGCCGUCGCCAGGAGCCUGGGCAUAGCUUUCACUGAAGUCAUUGAGACGCUGCCAGAUGGCUUGCAGAAAGUAACGAACUCUGCAGAGCUCACAGGCAUGACUCGGCAGGAGGCUUUCGAGGCUGUUACCCAGCAGGCCAGGCACAGCAGCCUGGGUGGAGAGCUAACAAGUGACAAGUUAAGAGACUGGCUAAUCUCUCGCCAGCGCUACUGGGGGGCUCCUAUUCCUGUCAUUCACUGCCAGGCCUGCGGCACUGUCCCUGUGCCUUACGAAGACUUGCCUGUGGUGCUGCCCAAGGUCACCACCUUCACAGGCAAAGGAGCCUCACCUUUAGAAACUGCUCCAGAAUGGGUGAACUGUUCCUGCCCCAGGUGUAAGGCAGCAGCACGGCGAGAAGUGGAUACCAUGGACACCUUUGUUGAUUCUGCUUGGUACUAUCUGAGGUACACAGACCCUCACAACAUGGACAGGCCCUUCAGCAGGGAGCUGGCAGACUACUGGAUGCCUGUGGAUCUGUACAUUGGGGGCAAGGAGCAUGCCGUGAUGCACCUGUUCUAUGCCAGGUUCUUCAGCCACUUCUGCCACAGCCUGGAGAUGACCAAACACAGGGAGCCUUUCCACAAGCUCUUGGUUCAAGGUCUUAUCAAGAACCAGACGUUCAGAGUACCAACAACAGGCCAGUGUGUGAAGAGAGAAGAGGUUGAUCUCACUGGAGCUGAGCCACUUCACCUGAAAACUGGUGAGAAGCUCCAAGUGACUUGGGAAAAAAUGAGCAAAUCUAAGCACAAUGGAAUAGAUCCUCAGGAAUUUGUGAAGGAGUGUGGUAUCGACACCCUGCGUCUCUACGUGCUGUUUGCUGCUCCUCCAGAGCAAGAUAUUCUGUGGGAUACUAAAACUGAUGCUAUGCCAGGUGUUCAGAGGUGGCAGGCACGCAUCUGGGCACUUGUAACCAAACUGAUUGAGGCAAGGACUUCAGGAACCGUGCCCAAGCCCGAGCUGCUGAACGAGAGACAGAAGAGUGAAGCCAGAAAGAUCUGGGAGCAGAAGAAUCUGGUGAUUUCUGAGGUGACAGAGUACUUCACCAAGGAUCACUUGUUCAACGCUGCCAUUUCCCGCCUGAUGAGCCUCACUAACGUGCUGCAGCAAGCUCCUCAGCCUCUUAUUUCCCACAGCAGGGAAUUUGAAGAUGGUUUGGCUUCACUCUGCAUUAUGGUUUCACCUAUGGCUCCACACAUUGCAUCAGAGCUGUGGAAAGGCUUGGCCCACAUGCAGAAUAAACUUUGUCCUCAUUAUCAGUGGGAUGCUGACGUGCUGCAUCAGUCCUGGCCCAAAGUAGACCUGGAGUACCUUCAGCUGUCAGAUGUUGUGGAGAUGUCUGUGCUGAUCAAUAACAAAGCCUGUGGCAAGGUUCCUGUGCCUCAGCAAGCAGCUCGCAAUUGCCAAGAGGUCCACAGGCUCGUGCUCCAGAGUGAGCUUGGAGCCAAGCAUCUGCAAGGCCGCACCAUCAAGAAGGCUUUUCUGUCUCCACGCACUGCCCUCAUCAACUUCUUGGUGCAGGAAUAGCAGAGCCUCUGCUGGGCUCUGGGAGAGAGCUGGAACCUUUCCAGAUGAAGCCAAGUCACAACUGGCAGUUACGGCCCUGGAAGUCUGAUGCUGUUAAGUCAGGUUGCUGCUACGUCGUCGCUCUGACCUGGAGAAGUGUGCAGAAUUCAUGUUUCUUACUGUCCCAGUAAGGUGCUCUUUGUCCCUGGGAGAGGGAGAAAGAAGACCUGCUUGAUUGGAGCAGAAUGUAAAUGUGCUAAAGUGCACAGGCUUUAGUGCCAGCCUCUUGGAAUGCUGCCUUGGCUCAGUGCAGAGGCCUGAGUGUGAUUCCAGGAGGGAACAACUGCACCAAGAACCUGCUCCAGUAGAAGUUAGGUGCCAGCUGUGCUCCCUGUACCUUGUGUGUGGGUACCCUACUGUGAACAAACAGCUUCAGGUGGAAGAAAAUGCUGCUGCAGAGCGUUCAUGUCAAAAGCUUGUUUAGCCCUGGCCUUGGGCAGAGCAGGUAGCCAGACUGGGGUGGUUUGAUCUAUUUCACAGACUGCAGAGCCCAGCUAAGAAAAAGAACAGAUUAUUCAGCCAAGCCCUGCCUAGCCAGGAUCCUUCCUUGCUGGCAUGCAGCAGAGAUUCAACUUCAGCAGAAUAGAGGAGAAUGGAAGUUCCUUCCUACAGGUAAUGUCUGCUUUUGGCUUGAAGACCUGAUGCUGAGCUGCAGCCGUUUGGGUUUGAUGGGAGUGGGGUUUACGGCUUGAAGCAGAAGCACAAAGCUGACUGCAGUAGAUCAGGGGCACUCGUUAGCACGUCUGAAGCAUAGUAGGAGGAGAAAUGAAGCGGAGCCUUGUCUGUGUGCAGGAGGGGACAGGAUCAGCACUCUGAGCUGCAGCCCAGAUGACACAAGAGAUCUUGCCUGCCCUGCAGAGGAAAGGUGGGAUUUUUCCCUUUCCUGCUGAACUGACUUUCCACUACCACAAAGCAUUCUGCAGUUCCCUGCCCCUGCCUGUUCCAGGAGCCCAGGUCACACACAACCUCCCUGUCUUGUGGCACUUCCCUUGCUCAGGCAAAGCCUUGGGUUGGACAGGUUCAGGUUUGGCUUUAGCCCUGGAGAGCUGCAAACUACCAUCAUCUUCCAUACAGUGUGAGCUGCAGGUUUGUGUGUAGUGGGAGCCUGAGCAGGCCUUCCUUUGCUUCUGAGGUGCUGGUGUCUCUGGGUAGUGGGGUUUGGUGCUGCAGAGAGGAGGCCUGGUGGCUUUUGUUCUGCCUGCCAGCCUUUAGCCACAAGAGACUGGAACCUCAGGCAGUCAAGUGUAUGGUUGUGUUUGUUAUCAGGUGAGCGUGGCAGAGUGCUGAGAACCUCAUCAGAAUUACCCCCCAGUAUAGCACACCCAGCACCUCUCCCCGGACGCUCGCCUGCACGCGCCGCACCAGUCUGCUGCCUGCUCCAGGCUGCUGAUGUGGGAAAAGCUUACAAAUAAUGAGUUGGGCAUUCACAAUCUGCUUGGGCUUGUGCCACUCAGUCUGGGAGACUUGGCCCUAAGAAAUGCUUUUAUUUGGAGAUGCUGGUCCUUUUCAGUGCAAGUCUAAGCAGAACAGACACUGACAGGAACAGAAGAGCACAAACCUUUGUGCUUUCUGGGCUGGCUGCAAGGGGAAGGCUCAGGCUCUCAACUUCCUUAUCUGGCAGUAGUUCUUUACACGUGCCAAAGCUGAGCACAAAGAGUCCAAGAUUAUCCCAGUCCACUCAGCAGAGGAGGUGCCACAGCUGCCAGGCAAGGGAAGCUGCUCCACUAACUGCUUGGUGCCAAGUGAAACACACCAAGUGCUAGGAGCUGUAGGUGAUGCAGUGUGCCGACCAUCAACCGCAAACGCAGCAGCAGCACCGGAGAGAGAGUGGCUUGGUAAAGGAGUAGGACACGGUGCUGGCAGCGGCAGGCUGGGUUUGUUUCUGGUGAAGGGAACUGGCAUCACAGGAAAUUGUUUUCUGCUCUAGGAAACCAAUCGUCUUUAAGCAGCAGCGUAAUUAGCAAAUCUUACUGACUGCUGCGGAGCAGAAAGAGCAGCGUGCAGCGCAGUGCUGUGCUGGCUAAGCCAGGGGAGCAUUGUGGAUGAAGAACCCACCCCUGGAAGCUUUCAGAACUGAAUAUUUUCCUGCAGUACGUCUCCAUCCCUGGAGAUCCGUGUGGCGGGGCGAAAUCGCAGGGGUGCAAUAAACAUACAAACUUCCUGAUUUUCCCACGUGAAA
RNA transcript from Pogoniulus pusillus (Red-fronted tinkerbird), 5124 nucleotides. It is a transcript of the gene named leucyl-tRNA synthetase 2, mitochondrial, with no coding region annotated. The record is from RefSeq and is a predicted model, not a curated record. Lineage: Eukaryota; Metazoa; Chordata; Aves; Piciformes; Lybiidae. The transcript has 23 exons.